Molecule: small nucleolar RNA, 68 nt
Organism: Gorilla gorilla gorilla (western lowland gorilla)
Lineage: Eukaryota; Metazoa; Chordata; Mammalia; Primates; Hominidae
Source: Ensembl
GACUAGUACCACCUCACACCCGCAGAGCACUGGGCCCUGCCUGGGGUGAAAUGCCAGUUGCUUGAGUC